RNAcentral lists this transfer RNA (73 nucleotides) under Megalops atlanticus (tarpon). It matches the Rfam family "tRNA". Rfam says of the family: Transfer RNA (tRNA) molecules are approximately 80 nucleotides in length. The record is from Rfam by way of RNAcentral. Lineage: Eukaryota; Metazoa; Chordata; Actinopteri; Elopiformes; Megalopidae.
GCCCCAGUGGCCUAAUGGAUAAGGCACUGGUCUCCUAAGCCAGGGAUUGUGGGUUCAAGUCCCAUCUGGACUG